CCUACUUAAUUAUUGUGGUGAUUAAAUCAGAAAUGUUCCCCAUUGGCUUCAGUACUUGAACACAUCAUUCUCAGUUAGUGGUACUUCUUUUGGGAGAUUUAGGUGGUUCAUUUGCUGGAGGAAAUGAAUGACUGUAAGUGGACUCUGAGAUUAAAUGCUUGGAUCACAUCCAGUUUACUCUCUCUGCCUGGCUUUUGUUGUAAGAGAAACUGAAAAUGCAAAGGAACUACAGUCACAACAUCUCAAGAUAUGCUAAGUAUUUCCAGAAAACCCCUGAUUUUGUUAUAGUGUUCUCUACCUUUCACUGACCUGCAACAGCAUUAGAGAAGCUAUUGUAAUGCUCUUAUGAAAUAAACCCCAAAUAGGCUGCUUUCUGGAGGCUCUUAUCUUUGGUUCAGGUGGCAUGUGUAUAGCUGGAGCUACAUCUGCUCUUGGCAGUUUUGGGGGCUUUGUUGGACCUCAUCAUGCUGAAUGCUUGGAUUCUUUUGUCCCUGGUUGCCCAUAUGCAAAUAAUGAACCUGCUCUGGGUAAAUUUUUGUAUGCAUAGGUGUUUUGUCUCAUUAGACUCAGACAAAUUAAUAAGCUGUAUGCUGUGAACUUUCUUCAGUUUCUUGUUGAACUAUGGGACAGCCAGUUGCUCAAAGGCACUGUAGAAUUAAUUAAUUACUCAUCUUCCUUUGUAGAAACUGGCUUAAAACUUGGAAGAUGGAACUCACAUGUUCACAAGUUGAGAAGUUUAGAAAGCAGAAACAACCUUUUAAAGAAAAAAUACCUUCACGAUUCUUCAUGAAGGAUAAACCUGAACUUCAGGUUCUACAGUAAAAGGAACACCAUAAAUGUUCAUUGGUAUUUCUGAUGAAGCUCAAGCAGAAGAUUUCAGUGUGAGCCCUUGGCUUCCUGACACCAUGCCUACUACCUGCUUUUUCUGAUCUGACAUUAUGAACUCUGUUUGGAAAGAGUAUAACUUAAUGUACCAAGAAAUCACAUCUUUCAGUUCAAACAACAGCUAGAGCAGCAAAGGAGACAACUGCCAACUGCCAACUGCCAACUGCUUGUUGAUGGGAACUGGGCAUCAUGAACUCAGAAGACUAACCAUUAAUACUGAUGGUUAUCUUAUCUUAUUUCUCCAUUGCUGUAACAGUGCAGAGCAUAUGUCUGGUGCUCUAGAACAAGGUGGGCCCAGAUUCUCUAACUCACAGUGCACAUGAGACUGGAGGUGCCAGUUUGAGAUACUUUUUUGAUUUGAAGGCCAUGUAUAUUCAAGUGCAGAAUUACUGCAUCAUAUGUUACUUUUGUGUGUGUGUGUGUGUGUGUGUGUGAGAGAGAGAGAGAGAGAGAGAGAGAGAGAGAGAGAGAGAGAGAGGGGGGGAUAGGUAUAUAUAGAGAGACAGAGAGAUAGAGAGACAGAGACAGAAACAGGGACAAAGAGAAAGAUAGGUUGGUUUGGUGUGGGGUAUGGACACAAGACAAUUGCUGCAGCAAUAAACCAUAUCCUGAGCCUAGUAUUUGUUUGUAUUAAUGGACCUACAGUGUCUGUACUAUACUGGAGACCAAACCGAGAACCUAAUGCAUACUAUGUAUAUUCUACCACUUGGUUUCUACGGCAAGCCUUUAUGUUUAAGUUUUAAUGAGAAGGAAGUACAAUUUCUUUUCUUUGGUUCUCCCUUCAAUUUCCCAUAGCACAUUUAUUACUUUCCAUUCCAAAUAUCAUAGUGUUUAUGGCCAUUCUUCUGGCAUCCUUUGCAUAUGUAAAUUUUAUAUUAAAUUAUGAAAAUAACCUUCAAGCUUUGAUGAAAAAAUACUAGAACAUAAAUGCUAUUCUAACAAAUAUAUAAUGUAAUGGUGUUACAGGACAUUGAAGUGGACAAAUAAAAAAAUCUACUCUU
Molecule: non-coding RNA, 1886 nt
Organism: Cricetulus griseus (Chinese hamster)
Lineage: Eukaryota; Metazoa; Chordata; Mammalia; Rodentia; Cricetidae
Source: RefSeq, a predicted model, not a curated record